UGAGUAACACGUGGGUAAUCUGCCUUUGAGUCUGGAAUAACAGUUAGAAAUGAUUGCUAAUGCCGGAUUAUAUAUAGGAUGAUACGUCUUCUUAUAUUAAAAGGAGCCUUUAAAGCUUCGCUUAAAGAUGAGCCUGCGGCGUAUUAGCUAGUUGGUAGGGUAAAGGCCUACCAAGGCAACGAUGCGUAGCCGACCUGAGAGGGUGAUCGGCCACACUGGGACUGAGACACGGCCCAGACUCCUACGGGAGACAGCAGUUAGGAAUACUCGUCAAUGGGGGAAACCCUGAACGAGCAAUGCCGCGUGAAGGAUGACGGUCCUAUGGAUUGUAAACUUCUGUUGUUAGGGAAGAACGACCUGUAUAGGAAAUGAUACAGGAGUGACGGUACCUUUCAAGAAAGCUCCGGCUAACUACGUGCCAGCAGCCGCGGUAAUACGUAGGGAGCGAGCGUUAUCCGGAUUUAUUGGGUGUAAAGGGUGCGUAGGCGGUUUAGCAGGUCUAUGGUUUAAGUCCGAAGCUUAACUUCGGUUCGCCAUAGAAACCGUUUUACUUGAGUAUGGUAGAGGCAAGUGGAAUUUCUAGUGUAGCGGUUAAAUGCGUAGAUAUUAGAAGGAACAUCGGUGGCGAAGGCGACUUGCUGGGCCAUUACUGACGCUGAGGCACGAAAGCGUGGGGAGCAAAUAGGAUUAGAUACCCUAGUAGUCCACGCCGUAAACGAUGGAUACUAAGUGUCGGAGUUAUUCGGUGCUGAAGUUAACACAUUAAGUAUCCCACCUGAGUAGUACGGUCGCAAG
RNAcentral lists this ribosomal RNA (795 nucleotides) under uncultured Mycoplasmatota bacterium. Its description in RNAcentral is "bacterial SSU rRNA". It matches the Rfam family "Bacterial small subunit ribosomal RNA", at positions 107 to 892 of the family's 1533-position model. Lineage: Bacteria; Bacillati; Mycoplasmatota. The record is from RNAcentral.